UACAGAGGGUGCGAGCGUUAAUCGGAAUGACUGGGCGUAAAGGGCAUGUAGGCGGUUAUGUUAGUCUGAUGUGAAAUACCCGGGCUUAACCUGGGAUAUGCAUUGGAAACGGCAUAGCUAGAGUAUGGGAGAGGGAAGUGGAAUUUCCGGUGUAGCGGUGAAAUGCGUAGAGAUCGGAAAGAACACGCGUGGCGAAGGCGGCUUUCUGGCCCAUAACUGACGCUGAGGUGCGAAAGCGUGGGGAGCGAACAGG
Molecule: ribosomal RNA, 253 nt
Filed under: uncultured bacterium
Lineage: Bacteria
Description: partial 16S ribosomal RNA
Rfam family: Bacterial small subunit ribosomal RNA
Source: RNAcentral